UCAGGCCUAACACAUGCAAGUCGUACGAGAGUUUUUAACUCUAGUGGCGGACGGGUGAGUAACACGUGAGAAUUUGCCUUUAGGAGGGGGACAACAAUUGGAAACGAAUGCUAAUACCCCAUAUGCUUUCGAGUGAAAUGGAUUUUAUCCGCCUAGAGAGAAGCUCGCGGCUGAUUAGCUUGUUGGUAAGGUAAGAGCUUACCAAGGCGACGAUCAGUAUCUGGUUUGAGAGGACGAUCAGACACACUGGAACUGAGACACGGUCCAGACUCCUACGGGAGGCAGCAGUGGGGAAUUUUCCGCAAAGGGCGAAAGCCUGACGGAGCAA
RNAcentral lists this ribosomal RNA (328 nucleotides) under uncultured bacterium. RNAcentral describes it as "bacterial SSU rRNA". It matches the Rfam family "Bacterial small subunit ribosomal RNA", at positions 46 to 392 of the family's 1533-position model. The record is from RNAcentral.